RNAcentral lists this ribosomal RNA (449 nucleotides) under uncultured bacterium. RNAcentral describes it as "bacterial SSU rRNA". It matches the Rfam family "Bacterial small subunit ribosomal RNA", at positions 355 to 796 of the family's 1533-position model. The record is from RNAcentral.
UGGGGAAUAUUGGACAAUGGGGGCAACCCUGAUCCAGCAAUGCCGCGUGUGUGAAGAAGGCCUUCGGGUUGUAAAGCACUUUAGUUGGGGAAGAAGUUAUGGAGUUUAAGAGAUGCCAUAAUUGACGGUACCCAAAGAAUAAGCACCGGCUAACUCUGUGCCAGCAGCCGCGGUAAUACAGAGGGUGCGAGCGUUAAUCGGAAUUACUGGGCGUAAAGGGCGCGUAGGCGGUUAAUUAAGUUGGAUGUGAAAUCCCUGGGCUUAACCUAGGAACUGCAUACAAUACUGAUUAACUGGAGUGCUGUAGAGGGUAGUGGAAUUUCCGGUGUAGCGGUGAAAUGCGUAGAUAUCGGAAGGAACACCAGUGGCGAAGGCGACUACCUGGACAGACACUGACGCUGAGGCGCGAAAGCGUGGGUAGCAAACAGGAUUAGAUACCCCCGUAGUCC